Populus trichocarpa (black cottonwood) is the source of this 129-nucleotide non-coding RNA. The record is from Rfam. Lineage: Eukaryota; Viridiplantae; Streptophyta; Magnoliopsida; Malpighiales; Salicaceae.
AUGUUUUAGAAACGAGCACGUAAAGCACUCGCCCCUGACAUGGAUGGGAACGGCCUUCCGGCUUACCUGUAACAACACACUCGGUUGAGGCUGCCACAGUUUUGGUGGUUCUUCAAACCCAAUUUUUUA